UACGGAGGGAGCUAGCGUUGUUCGGAAUUACUGGGCGUAAAGCGCGCGUAGGCGGCUUUGGAAGUUAGGGGUGAAAGCCCGGAGCUCAACUCCGGAAUUGCCUUUAAGACUGCAUCGCUUGAAUCCAGGAGAGGUGAGUGGAAUUGCGAGUGUAGAGGUGAAAUUCGUAGAUAUUCGGAAGAACACCAGUGGCGAAGGCGGCUCACUGGACUGGUAUUGACGCUGAGGUGCGAAAGCGUGGGGAGACAACAGG
This 253-nucleotide unclassified non-coding RNA is filed under the name uncultured Sphingomonadaceae bacterium. RNAcentral describes it as "contains 16S-23S intergenic spacer region". It matches the Rfam family "Bacterial small subunit ribosomal RNA", at positions 524 to 776 of the family's 1533-position model. Lineage: Bacteria; Pseudomonadati; Pseudomonadota; Alphaproteobacteria; Sphingomonadales; Sphingomonadaceae. The record is from RNAcentral.